AUGAACGCUGGCGGCGUGCCUAAUACAUGCAAGUCGAGCGAACAGAUGAGGAGCUUGCUCCUCUGACGUUAGCGGCGGACGGGUGAGUAACACGUGGAUAACCUACCUAUAAGACUGGGAUAACUUCGGGAAACCGGAGCUAAUACCGGAUAAUAUAUUGAACCGCAUGGUUCAAUAGUGAAAGACGGUUUUGCUGUCACUUAUAGAUGGAUCCGCGCCGCAUUAGCUAGUUGGUAAGGUAACGGCUUACCAAGGCAACGAUGCGUAGCCGACCUGAGAGGGUGAUCGGCCACACUGGAGCUGAGACACGGUCCAGACUCCUACGGGAGGCAGCAGUAGGGAAUCUUCCGCAAUGGGCGAAAGCCUGACGGAGCAACGCCACGUGAGUGAUGAAGGUCUUCGGAUCGUAAAACUCUGUUAUUAGGGAAGAACAAAUGUGUAAGUAACUAUGCACGUCUUGACGGUACCUAAUCAGAAAGCCACGGCUAACUACGUG
RNAcentral lists this ribosomal RNA (496 nucleotides) under uncultured bacterium. Its description in RNAcentral is "partial 16S ribosomal RNA". It matches the Rfam family "Bacterial small subunit ribosomal RNA", at positions 29 to 507 of the family's 1533-position model. The record is from RNAcentral.